RNAcentral lists this ribosomal RNA (254 nucleotides) under Klebsiella pneumoniae. RNAcentral's name for it is "partial 16S ribosomal RNA". It matches the Rfam family "Bacterial small subunit ribosomal RNA", at positions 345 to 591 of the family's 1533-position model. Lineage: Bacteria; Pseudomonadati; Pseudomonadota; Gammaproteobacteria; Enterobacterales; Enterobacteriaceae. The record is from RNAcentral.
GAGGCAGCAGUGGGGAAUAUUGCACAAUGGGCGCAAGCCUGAUGCAGCCAUGCCGCGUGUGUGAAGAAGGCCUUCGGGUUGUAAAGCACUUUCAGCGGGGAGGAAGGCGAUAAGGUUAAUAACCUUGUCGAUUGACGUUACCCGCAGAAGAAGCACCGGCUAACUCCGUGCCAGCAGCCGCGGUAAUACGGAGGGUGCAAGCGUUAAUCGGAAUUACUGGGCGUAAAGCGCACGCAGGCGGUCUGUCAAGUCGG